This 598-nucleotide ribosomal RNA is filed under the name uncultured bacterium. RNAcentral's name for it is "bacterial SSU rRNA". It matches the Rfam family "Bacterial small subunit ribosomal RNA", at positions 28 to 621 of the family's 1533-position model. The record is from RNAcentral.
AUUGAACGCUGGCGGCAGGCUUAACACAUGCAAGUCGAGCGGGGAGAUGUAGCUUGCUACAUUUCCUAGCGGCGGACGGGUGAGUAAUGCUUAGGAAUCUGCCUAUUAGUGGGGGACAACAUUCCGAAAGGAAUGCUAAUACCGCAUACGCCCUACGGGGGAAAGCAGGGGAUCUUCGGACCUUGCGCUAAUAGAUGAGCCUAAGUCAGAUUAGCUAGUUGGUGGGGUAAAGGCCUACCAAGGCGACGAUCUGUAGCGGGUCUGAGAGGAUGAUCCGCCACACUGGGACUGAGACACGGCCCAGACUCCUACGGGAGGCAGCAGUGGGAAUAUUGGACAAUGGGCGAAAGCCUGAUCCAGCCAUGCCGCGUGUGUGAAGAAGGCCUUUUGGUUGUAAAGCACUUUAAGCGAGGAGGAGGCUACUUAGAUUAAUACCCUAGGAUAGUGGACGUUACUCGCAGAAUAAGCACCGGCUAACUCUGUGCCAGCAGCCGCGGUAAUACAGAGGGUGCGAGCGUUAAUCGGAUUUACUGGGCGUAAAGCGUGCGUAGGCGGCUUUUUAAGUCGGAUGUGAAAUCCCUGAGCUUAACUUAGGAAU